Molecule: ribosomal RNA, 497 nt
Filed under: uncultured bacterium
Lineage: Bacteria
Description: partial 16S ribosomal RNA
Rfam family: Bacterial small subunit ribosomal RNA
Source: RNAcentral
GAUGAACGCUGGCGGCGUGCCUAAUACAUGCAAGUCGAGCGAACAGACGAGGAGCUUGCUCCUUUGACGUUAGCGGCGGACGGGUGAGUAACACGUAGGUAACCUACCUAUAAGACUGGGAUAACUUCGGGAAACCGGAGCUAAUACCGGAUAAUAUUUCGAACCGCAUGGUUCGAUAGUGAAAGAUGGCUUUGCUAUCACUUAUAGAUGGACCUGCGCCGUAUUAGCUAGUUGGUAAGGUAACGGCUUACCAAGGCAACGAUACGUAGCCGACCUGAGAGGGUGAUCGGCCACACUGGAACUGAGACACGGUCCAGACUCCUACGGGAGGCAGCAGUAGGGAAUCUUCCGCAAUGGGCGAAAGCCUGACGGAGCAACGGCGCGUGAGUGAUGAAGGUCUUCGGAUCGUAAAACUCUGUUAUUAGGGAAGAACAAACGUGUAAGUAACUGUGCACGUCUUGACGGUACCUAAUCAGAAAGCCACGGCUAACUACGUG